AUACUUCCCUGGUGAGGAAGAUACUAUGGUUAGGAGAUUAGUUUGUUUAUGCUUUGGUUCAUCCAUUGCACUCCAGAAGCACUGAUUAUCCCAUAUUAACAAAAAUCACUCAGUUGUGUCAUUUGUGAUCAUGAGGGGUUGUGUUUAUGCUUUUCCUUG
Small nuclear RNA from Gopherus evgoodei (Goodes thornscrub tortoise), 159 nucleotides. Its record names the gene U1. It matches the Rfam family "U1 spliceosomal RNA". Rfam says of the family: U1 is a small nuclear RNA (snRNA) component of the spliceosome (involved in pre-mRNA splicing). Its 5' end forms complementary base pairs with the 5' splice junction, thus defining the 5' donor site of an intron. Lineage: Eukaryota; Metazoa; Chordata; Testudines; Testudinidae. The record is from Ensembl.